This 511-nucleotide ribosomal RNA is filed under the name uncultured bacterium. RNAcentral's name for it is "bacterial SSU rRNA". It matches the Rfam family "Bacterial small subunit ribosomal RNA", at positions 34 to 518 of the family's 1533-position model. The record is from RNAcentral.
CGCUGGCGGCGUGCCUAAUACAUGCAAGUCGAACGGUCUUUCUAUGGAAGCUUGCUUCCACUGAGAAGAUAGUGGCGAACGGGUGAGUAACACGUGGGUAACCUGCCCAUAAGAGGGGGAUAACAUCCGGAAACGGGUGCUAAUACCGCAUAGUUUUCUUGAUCGCAUGAUCGGGAAAGGAAAGACGGCCUUUGUGCUGUCGCUUAUGGAUGGACCCGCGGCGUAUUAGUUAGUUGGUGAGGUAACGGCUCACCAAGACGAUGAUACGUAGCCGACCUGAGAGGGUGAUCGGCCACAUUGGGACUGAGACACGGCCCAAACUCCUACGGGAGGCAGCAGUAGGGAAUCUUCCGCAAUGGACGAAAGUCUGACGGAGCAACGCCGCGUGAGUGAAGAAAGGUUUUCGGAUCGCAAAACUCUGUUGUCAGAGAAGAACAAGUUGGAGAGUAACUGCUCCAGCCUUGACGGUAUCUGACCAGAAAGCCACGGCUAACUACGUGCCAGCCGCCGC